GGAUCAACAUGUCGGUCGUGCCUCCGGUACGUACUGGUAUCGUUGAUUUCUACCUUCUGACGAACCAUGAUGUCAUUAAUUUGGUGUCAUGGGGAAUCAGGACUGUUACUUUGAAAAAAUUAGAGUGUUUAAAGCAGGCACACGCUUGAAUACAUUAGCAUGGAAUAAUGAAAUAGGACGAUGGUUCUAUUUUGUUGGUUUCCGGGACCGUCGUA
RNAcentral lists this ribosomal RNA (215 nucleotides) under uncultured fungus. Its description in RNAcentral is "partial small subunit ribosomal RNA". The stretch from base 38 to 215 matches the Rfam family "Eukaryotic small subunit ribosomal RNA", at positions 684 to 864 of the family's 1831-position model. The record is from RNAcentral. Lineage: Eukaryota; Fungi.